Molecule: ribosomal RNA, 1092 nt
Filed under: Triticum aestivum (bread wheat)
Lineage: Eukaryota; Viridiplantae; Streptophyta; Magnoliopsida; Poales; Poaceae
Description: partial small subunit ribosomal RNA
Source: RNAcentral
AUGAAUCCGGCAUGCGCGGAGGCAGCCGCCGCCAAGAAGUCCCGGCACAAGGACAAGAAGGAGAAGAAAAGCAAGCGCAAAGAAACCGCGGAGCACCUCGGCGGCGAGCCCGCGACGGCCGAGGAGGAAGCCGUCCACAAGAAGAAGAAGAAGAAGCACGCGGAGGAGGAGGAGAAGGCGGAUCCGAAGCGGAGGCCGACGGUGAGCAUCGCCGUCGCAGGCUCCGUCAUCGACAACGCCCAGUCCCUCGAGCUCGCCACCCUCCUGGCCGGUCAGAUAGCCCGUGCGGCGGCCGUAUUCCGCAUCGACGAGAUUGUCGUCUUCGACAGCAGUCCAGCGGCGGAGAACGGCGGUGGCGCCGAAGAGGAAGAGGAGAGCGGUGCACGGUUCCUUGUCCGCAUACUGGAGUAUCUGGAAACGCCGCAGUACCUGCGCCGCCGUCUCUUCCCAAUGCACAAGAACUUUAAAUAUGUGGGGUUGCUUCCACCGCUGGACGCGCCGCACCAUGUGCGCAAGCAUGAGUGGUCUGAAUUUCGUGAAGGUGUAACAUUGGGUGGGGAUCGUUCAAAGGGUACACUUGUUGAUGUUGGGUUAAGUCAGAACGUUCUGGUUGAGCAAAUCGUAGAACAAGGAAAAAGGGUAACUGUAGCCAUGGGAACCAACAGAGACCUUACACCAGCUUGUGUAAGGAAAGUCGUUCCCCAGUCCUCACCCAGCGAAGAAAUGGGAUCAUAUUGGGGCUAUAAAGUCCGGUAUGCUUCAAAUUUAAGUGGUGUUAUCAAUGAUUCACCAUACAAGGAAGGAUAUGAUCAUAUCAUUGGCACUUCAGAGCAUGGCGAAACCAUUAUUUCAUCUGAGCUAAUCUUACCUUCAUUCAGGCACCUUUUAAUUGCGUUUGGUGGACUGGCUGGUCUGGAAGAAAGCAUCGAAGAGGACCCAAAUCUGAAUGGCAAAGGUGCAAAUGAUGUAUUCCCAUGUUAUUUGAAUACAUGCCCCAACCAAGGUAGCAGAACAAUAAGGACAGAGGAGGCACUUCUCAUAUCCCUUCAAUACUUCCAAGACCCCAUCAGGCGAGCAGGGAUGGCGAGUUAG